GACGUGCUAAUCUGCGAUAAGCGUCGGUAAGGUGAUAUGAACCGUUAUAACCGGCGAUUUCCGAAUGGGGAAACCCAGUGUGUUUCGACACACUAUCAUUAACUGAAUCCAUAGGUUAAUGAGGCGAACCGGGGGAACUGAAACAUCUAAGUACCCCGAGGAAAAGAAAUCAACCGAGAUUCCCCCAGUAGCGGCGAGCGAACGGGGAGCAGCCCAGAGCCUGAAUCAGUGUGUGUGUUAGUGGAAGCGUCUGGAAAGGCGCGCGAUACAGGGUGACAGCCCCGUACACAAAAAUGCACAUGCUGUGAGCUCGAUGAGUAGGGCGGGACACGUGGUAUCCUGUCUGAAUAUGGGGGGACCAUCCUCCAAGGCUAAAUACUCCUGACUGACCGAUAGUGAACCAGUACCGUGAGGGAAAGGCGAAAAGAACCCCGGCGAGGGGAGUGAAAAAGAACCUGAAACCGUG
Molecule: ribosomal RNA, 466 nt
Filed under: Escherichia coli
Lineage: Bacteria; Pseudomonadati; Pseudomonadota; Gammaproteobacteria; Enterobacterales; Enterobacteriaceae
Description: partial 23S ribosomal RNA
Rfam family: Bacterial large subunit ribosomal RNA
Source: RNAcentral